Molecule: RNA transcript, 3361 nt
Organism: Poecile atricapillus (Black-capped chickadee)
Lineage: Eukaryota; Metazoa; Chordata; Aves; Passeriformes; Paridae
Gene: EIF2B3
Gene name: eukaryotic translation initiation factor 2B subunit gamma
Exons: 12
Source: RefSeq, a predicted model, not a curated record
GGCUGUCCGCGCGCAGGCGCAGCGCGGCCGCGCCGCCAUUGCUGCGCUGUCAGUGCCGGGAGCGGUCGCAGGGACCGGAGGAGUGAACCGGCCUUGUCUCACCUGUCCCGGGGGGGCCCUGCCCUGUCUCUGUGUCACUCCGCCACGCGAUGGAGUUCCAGGCCGUGGUGAUGGCGGCCGGAGGCGGGUCCCGCAUGACGGACCUGACCUCCAGCAUCCCGAAGCCGCUGCUCCCGGUGGGAAACCGGCCCCUGCUGUGGUACCCGCUGAACCUCCUGGAGCGCGCCGGCUUCGAAGAGGUCAUUGUGAUUACAAGGAAGGAAAUCCAAAAGAUGCUAAACCUGGACACAAAAAUGAAGCUCGAUUUUGUGUGCAUCAGUGACAACAUGGACAUGGGUACAGCAGAUUCACUGAGGCAUAUUCACCAGAAAAUUAAGACGGAUGUCUUGGUGUUGAGCUGCGAUCUGAUCACAGAUGUAGAUUUAUAUAAAGUUGUGGACCUCUUUCGGACACAUGAUGCUACUCUCUCCAUGUUGAUGAAGAAAACUCAUGAACCAACAGAAGUGGUACCAGGACAGAAAGGGAAAAAAAAGCCAGUGGAGCAGCGCGACUUCAUUGGAGUGGAUGACACAGGAAAAAGAUUGCUCUUCAUGGCUAAUGAAGCUGACUUGGAUGAAGAACUUGUCAUUAAAAGAUCCAUCCUUCAGAAGCACCCCAGAAUGCACAUCAGAACAGGGCUGAUGGAUGCCCAUCUCUACUGUCUGAAGAAAUAUGUGGUAGAUUUUCUGGUAGAAAACAGGACAAUCACAUCUCUCCGGAGUGAACUGAUUCCACAUCUGGUUAGGAAACAGUUUUCUUCUCCUGCAUCAUUGCAGCAAGGACUAGACAACAAAGAAGAGGACCAAAAGAAAAAAGAGCAAGCAUCCCUAGACAUUUAUAGUUUCAUAAAGGAAGAUAAUAGCUUGCUGAAACCUGCUCCAGAUAACUCUUGUUGGAAUGAUCAUAGAGGAGAUAUGAAUGAAACUCUCCAUGAAGGAAAAGUGCGCUGCUACGUCCAUAUCAUGAAGGAGGGGUUGUGCUACCGAGUGAAUACUCUUGGACUGUACAUUGAAGCCAACAGACAGGUUCCCAAAUUAUUGUUUAAUCUGGGUCUGGAAGAGCCACUGGUUCAUGGGUCUGCACAGAUCACUGAUAGAGGCAUGGUUGGAUCAGACAGUAUGAUUGGGUCAUCCACACAAAUCGGAGAGAAGACAUCCAUCAAACACUCCAUCAUCGGCAGCAUGUGUACCAUAAAAGACAAAGUUAAGAUAACAAACUGUAUCAUCAUGAAUUCUGUUACAAUUGAGGAAGGGUGCUGUCUUCAGGGCAGUGUUAUUUGUCAUAAUGCUGUGAUAGAGAAGGGUGCAGACAUCAAGGACUGUUUGAUUGGAAGUGAUCAGAGGCUGGAAACCAAAGCCAAACAUGUUAAUGAAGUCAUUGUGGGCACCGAACAGCUGAUGGAGAUAUAACCCGAGUAGCUUUUAAAGAUGAUUUUAUGGAAGCCAGCAGCAGAACCAGAUGUUCAAGCAUCGUGGCUGUUGAGAUCUCUCAGGAAGCAGCAGCUCAUCUGAUCCCUUCUGCAGUCAAACCCAAGCGGAUGGCUCCCAUCUUCCUGGCAGCCCUGGAAGACAGCCACAUGAGGUGAAGACAAACAGCCAGCCAUUCCCAGGGAUGGUGGGCUUCCAACCCCCAUGGUGUUCAAAUGGAGACAAAAACUUUGCACCCAACUCUGAUCUUGCUUUUAGGACAAUUUUUAUCUUGCUUUUAGGACAAUUUUUUGGGCACAAAGGCGAGAGCAGAGCCUGAGCAGUCAUAUGGUCUCAGGUACACAGGUCUGGCUCCCCCAGUCACCUAUCCAGCUGACACUGUGUGUGCAGCCCUAGCAGUGGGAGUCUCCUGAACCUCUCUGUGUUGGGAUCAGAAGGACUUGACAAUCUUUUAUUGCCUUCAGUCUACAAGGCUGAUUGUGCACAGCCAUGCUCCUGCUGACUUCCUUGCUGGUUUCUGCACCCCACUGUCCUUACUCUGGCUGCCUGGGAAGAGAGCUUUUCACCAUGCCCCUGCCCACCCUUUGGACUUUGCUGGUCCAGAGAUGAGAAUUUUCCUAAUAAAAUCCCACAGGUCUAGGGAACACCAUUUUUUCCUGAGGUGCCUUACUGCCUUCACGCUGGCCCAAGUCCCCAGUGAGGGCCAGUAAUGGCUGCUGUGGUCCCUGUCCAAUGUCUUGUGAGGGGCAGAGUGAGAUCAAGGCCCACGUGGGGCUCGCAGAGGAGCCGCCUGUGCCGGCAGCAGUGGUGUGACAGACGCACGUCGCACAGUGUGUGGUGUAAUCCAGCCCCAGGACACCGCAGUGCUGCCCUCCCGUCACACACAGCCACUCCUGUGGCCUUUGGUUAUCUGUUUUAAAGGAUUGAUUCUUGCAGCGGGCGGGGGGGGCUGGGGCCUUCGGCAUUGCAGGCUGCCCACUGUGCCCCCACCCAGCCCGUCCCAUCCAUGGGGGACCGCAGAGCGCAGGGCCCUUCUCACUGGGCCACCUGCAGAGUUAAUUUGGGGAUGUGGAGAUUCCCUCACAAGCACCCAGCACCCCCACCCCACCCCAGAAGCCUGCCCACCGAGGCUCGCUCCCUCUCAGCCAGGAGACUGAUUCUGGAUCCUGUCGGUUUGCACUCCAUCUCCCAGGAGCCAAGGUCCACAGCCGUGCCUGUGCCUCCCAGACGGGCCGGCAGACGGGAACUUCCUUCCAGGUCCUAUAGACAGACAUUUUAUAUACGUUAAAAUACGUGUGUAUAUAAAUAUGGAAAGCAAGAGCUUGGGAGAGCUUGAGUCUAAAUAAACUUGUAUGUUUUAGGCUUUUAAAAUGCUAAUGCUGAAUUUCAGGGGAUGGGGGACGGCAAGGGGAUUGUUGGACUGAGGACCAAGACAGCUGAUGAGCUUGGAUCAGUGCCUUUACAAUUCAAGGAAAAAUGGGAUAGUUUGGGAAGGGAAAAGGGAUUUUCUUGUUUUUGUUUUUAGUAGAAAAUAAAAGAAUCUGCCUUCUUAUUUGCCUCCCUCCCCCAGCGCCGGAGCAGCGAGCGACUGGUGUUGUAUGCAUAAGCUAUUCCUUUGUGCAACAUCUAAAUGGUUAAUUGUGUUUGAGGAAGAUGUACGGGCGAAUGGAGGGACCACCCAGCAAGAGACAGACAAGAAAGAGCGAUCUCUGAAAUGUUUAACCAGAGAGAGAGCAAAGUUGUUUAAAAAUAUUUAAUUUACAACAUUCCACACUGCUGAUUAUAAAUCGGCCGUCCAAAAACACUGCUGCGUGCGGGGAGGGAUCCAGGCAGCA